AGGAUCCGCACGUUUUCCCGUCCGUUGCAUCGAUUUUUUUAAAUUUUCUGACGAAAAAGUGCGUUUAGUGUACACAAUUUAUGCGUAAUCUGUUACUACUGCCCUGCUUAGCCUCCUGAAAAAGCGCGUUUUCUUAAUACUACAACACCACACACUCCUUCCCCACUCACACGAGCAUUGCUAGCUCUCUGUGUUGGUUAAUAAAAUUUCCUAAUUCAACAUUAGUGAAUUUCGUUAGCUGAUGCAGUUGGUUAACAGUGUUUUUGUCGGUGUGGAUUCCCGGGCUUAAGAUGACUCCAGAGCGCGGCGCGGCCUUCCCCAAGAGAGGAGACUUCUUGGGUCACCCCCUAACCCUGAUGUUCGGGCAUCGAUGACCUGUGUAGCAUGCAGAGGUACCCAAGGGAGUCACCACCCUCUGGUUUACGAGCUAGGUGUUCUAAUGCUAGAGGCUUCGGCCGGAUACGACUUGGCACCCAAGCUCCGAGACUUCUUCGUGCACGUAUUCCGUGACCCUCGAAGAGGCAGGGGGCGGGAUAUCGGACACAUUGAAGAUGAUGAGGGGGGUCCGCCUGUAGGGGGUCCCGGUGGAUGUCCGUCCGACGGGUGACGAGGGUGACCCCAGACGAGGCGGCUUAAUUGGGAUGGGAACUGACUGGUGAGGCUUAAUCGUCGACCAAUGGGUCGAAUCUGCAUAAGGAAGGCAACCAGCACACACUCGCAGGCGGGUCGUGGAAACAUUUUUUUGUUUUUUCUCUUGGUCUGCCCCUCGUCGAAUUUUGAAGGCAGAAAAUGUCGGUAGGAGGCGAGCAUAACCAGGCCUAACUUAAACCUGUUAAAAGACAACCCGGGUUCGCAGCGCGAUUUUAAAAAGCAAGAUUGAAGAAGUCAGAAGUUCUAUCUACAUGCUGCAUAUGAUCAGUCCCAAAAAUUUCGGAUUGUUCCAGGCACCGUCGAAUACCUGGAAAACGUGUUUAUUGUCAACUCUACAGGAUCGACCGAAGUCCAUGGAGUUGGGGGCAUUCGAUGUGCCCCAUAGCAGUGAGACGCCACUGUUUUUUUCGCCGUAUAAUUAUUAUGGUGGGACUGAAAAUGAACUUAAGCAAGAUAUGAUGGUGAUACAGUAUGGCUUGGAGAACUUCAAAAGUCGGUUCGCGUCGUGGUUCCAAAGCAGUAACUUUAGGUUCUGUACAUUUACAGAAUGUUGCAUUAAGUACUCAUUUUUUAAUUUGCAAUUUUUAUAUUUCAUUUUUACUUUUUUUCUUACUCUAUACAAGGCUUUAAUAUAAAGUUUUUUUAGCAAUAAUAAAAGGGUAAUAAAAAAAUAACUCCAAAGAGACAAUUAGGUAGCAUAUUGUUUUUCUAUUAUAUUUGAAAAUAACUAUUU
This 1384-nucleotide long non-coding RNA is filed under the name Sitophilus oryzae (rice weevil). Its description in RNAcentral is "uncharacterized LOC115882754". Lineage: Eukaryota; Metazoa; Arthropoda; Insecta; Coleoptera; Curculionidae. The record is from RNAcentral.